This is a small nucleolar RNA of Suncus etruscus (white-toothed pygmy shrew), 135 nucleotides long. RefSeq annotates it as small nucleolar RNA SNORA51. The record is from RefSeq and is a predicted model, not a curated record. Lineage: Eukaryota; Metazoa; Chordata; Mammalia; Eulipotyphla; Soricidae. The transcript has a single exon.
AGCCUCCCAAUGCUUACCACAGGCUGUGUUCUUUACACUGUAUAGAAUAUAGAAGAGGAGGUACAGUAAAAGCUCCCCAUAUACACCUCAAACCAGGCCUUUUGCCUGGUCUGUAUUGUGAAUGGGGGGACAAAA